RNAcentral lists this ribosomal RNA (253 nucleotides) under uncultured bacterium. RNAcentral describes it as "partial 16S ribosomal RNA". It matches the Rfam family "Bacterial small subunit ribosomal RNA", at positions 524 to 776 of the family's 1533-position model. The record is from RNAcentral.
GACGUAGGGCGCGAGCGUUGUCCGGAUUUAUUGGGCGUAAAGAGCUCGUAGGUGGUUUGUUACGUCUGCUGUGAAAACCUAGGGCUUAACCCUGGGCCUGCAGUGGAUACGGGCAGACUAGAGGUAGGUAGGGGAGAAUGGAAUUCCCGGUGUAGCGGUGAAAUGCGCAGAUAUCGGGAGGAACACCGGUGGCGAAGGCGGUUCUCUGGGCCUUACCUGACACUGAGGAGCGAAAGCGUGGGGAGCGAACAGG